Molecule: ribosomal RNA, 487 nt
Filed under: uncultured bacterium
Lineage: Bacteria
Description: bacterial SSU rRNA
Rfam family: Bacterial small subunit ribosomal RNA
Source: RNAcentral
GAUGAACGCUAGCGGCAGGCUUAAUACAUGCAAGUCGAGGGGCAUCAAGGUACACGAAAGUGUAUUGUUGGCGACCGGCGGACGGGUGAGUAAUAGGUAGGUAACCUACCUCAUACUGAGGCAUAGCUGGGAGAAAUUCCAGGUAAUUCCUCAUGAGGUUAUAUGACACAUGUGAUAUAAUCAAAGGUAUCGCAAGGUACUGGUAUGAGAUGGGCUUACUGACCAUUAGCUAGUUGGUGAGAUAAGAGCUCACCAAGGCGAAGAUGGUUAGGGGUUUUGAGAGAGAGAUCCCCCACAUUGGAACUGAGAUACGGUCCAGACUCCUACGGGAGGCAGCAGUAGGGAAUAUUGGGCAAUGGGCGGAAGCCUGACCCAGCCAUGCCGCGUGAAGGGAAGACGGCCUUAUGGGGUUGUAAACUUCUUUUACUAUGCGACUAACUAGAUUUACGAGAUAAUUCUAUAGAAUGUAGCAUAGCAAAAGCACCGG